GGUCUGAUCAGGUGGUUUAGCCGCAAGGUUAACACUGCUUUUUGGUCGGAUCUUUCCUUCUGACGAACCACGAUGUCAUUAAUUUGGUGUUGCGGGGAAUUUGGACUGCUACUUUGAAAAAAUUAGAGUGUUUAAAGCAAGCUAACGCUUGAAUACAUUAGCAUGGAAUAAUGAAAUAGGACGUUCGAUCCUAUUUUGUUGGUUUCUAGGAUUGACGUA
Molecule: ribosomal RNA, 219 nt
Filed under: Campeiostachys nutans
Lineage: Eukaryota; Viridiplantae; Streptophyta; Magnoliopsida; Poales; Poaceae
Description: Elymus nutans partial small subunit ribosomal RNA
Rfam family: Eukaryotic small subunit ribosomal RNA (bases 39-219)
Source: RNAcentral